Molecule: unclassified non-coding RNA, 397 nt
Filed under: Hevea brasiliensis (rubber tree)
Lineage: Eukaryota; Viridiplantae; Streptophyta; Magnoliopsida; Malpighiales; Euphorbiaceae
Source: RNAcentral
AACACCAGCAUCCUUUGUUGCCUGGCGCUGAGAGUCGUUGAAGUAGGCCGGCACUGUCACAACGGCAUUCUUGACUGUGGAACCCAAGUAAGCCUCAGCAAUUUCACGCAUCUUGAUCAAGACCAUUGAAGAUAUCUCUUCAGCAGCAAACUGCUUAUCCUCGCCCUUGUAUUGUACGCCAAUCAUCGGCUUAUCUCCAGGCCCGGGUGUGACCUUAAAAGGCCAGAGCUUCAUGUCACCCUGGACAGAUGCAUCACUGAAUCUCCGGCCGAUGAGGCGCUUGGCAUCAAACACCGUAUUGAUCGGGUUCAUCGCAACCUGGUUCUUGGCCGCAUCGCCGAUGAGCCGCUCGCUGUCGGUGAAGGCGACGUAAGAGGGGGUGGUGCGGUUCCCCUGG